This is a long non-coding RNA of Monodelphis domestica (gray short-tailed opossum), 1709 nucleotides long. The record is from Ensembl. Lineage: Eukaryota; Metazoa; Chordata; Mammalia; Didelphimorphia; Didelphidae.
ACCACUCACAUCUUGCUUGCUAGGUGGAGAGGAGCCAAAUAUACUCCGAAAAGGAAGUAAAAAGAGGGCUGAGCCUAUUCACAACCAGGUUUAAAUACCCCAUCUUGCUCUCGGCCCAGGUGAGAAUUCAGUGAGAUUAGUCUCUAUCAGCAAAGUUCCCAUUUCCAUGGUAACAUGAAAUCAAUAUACAGUUGAAUCUGACAUCACAAUGAAGGCCCCUAUAAAAGGAAUUAACUCAGCUCAGUUGGGUUACCUUGGACUAAGGUCCCCAUCAACCCUUACCUCUAUUCAUUUUCUCCCCUGAACGAUGGGUGCAAAUUGUACGCACCAUUAUAGGAAACAGAGAAAAACAGAGUUAAACAGAAGACUGGCUUCUGGAAGAAAAAAAAUUGACACCUCUUUGCCUGAUGGUACCAUCGCCCCAUCAGGUGACUCCUCCGUGUCCACAAUAACUGACAACAAUACUUCAGGUUAUAAACAUCAAAUGAGCUUCCCUUGCUUCAGAAACAUAUCAUGGAACUCUUACUACAAGACCUUCACACUCAGCUUCACUAUUACCAACAUGUUUUACACAACAAAGAUGAAUCAAAAGGACUCCAGAACAUUCGAGGCUGCUGAGCAUAUCCUGCAAAUCUUGCUCAAGGUAUUGUUUGGAAGCAGCAGGCUUGCCUCUCAGUAUUCUGGAUGCAGUGCCCUUUCACUGAGGUGAGAAUCCUUCAAGACAUCAUCAGCUCAGAUAUUAGGGACCAGCAAUUAACAUUUCACACAAAGGAUGCCCAGGCUGUUUCUUCUUCUGCUUCUUAGUAGAAAUUCCUUCUUUCCCAACCUGUAAUGGAUAAAAUCUUCCAACCAAGAAGUUGUUAAAAUAUUUUAGACUCCUUAUACUCUUUCUCAGGUAGAAAAAUAUCCUUUCCCCAUUACUCUUUCCAUAGAUAAGUUUGCAACUGUUUUCACUUUAUAACUCCACAUGAAAAGAAUAAUAGAGGAGGCACCAAAUGAGUGCUUAGAAAAUGAUUGAUUAGAACAUAUCAACAUUACCUUUCACUAGAAUCUUAUAGGCUCCAAGCUGGAAGGGACAGUAGAGGUAAUCUGGCCCACUCUCUUCAUUUACAGAUGAAAAAAUGAAGACCCAAGGAGAUCCCAAUAACUUUCCCCAGGUCAAAAAUAGUCAGAAUUUGAACACUUGAUCUUUGAUUUUAAAUUCAUUUUUCUUUCCACUACUCUAAAGAAACUACUGAAAAUAAUCAGACCCCACAGACACCUAUAAACAUACAAAUAAGUAAUGUUACAGAGUACUGCCAAUUUCAUUGUCCUUGAUAAAGUGCUAAGUUUGGAAUCAGAAAGAACAAGUUCAAAUUUUCUCUCACUUACCAGAUGUGUGAUGCUAUGCAAGUCACAUAAUCUGCCUUAGCCUCCAUUUCUUUCCUCUAUAAACUGAGAGGGCUAUAUUUGAUGGUUUCCCAUGUCCUUUUCAACUUUAAAUCUACAAUCAUCUCUAAACCUUUAUUCCAAGUCAGCCACUUCUCUCAAGAGUGUUCUCUGAAUAACUAAAUUUCAGAAACUAAACCAGUGGUGUCCAACUCAAAAGGAAAUUUCUGAAGCCACUAAAUUAUACAUCAUCACGGUCCCUAUUGCCUGCAUUUUGGCUCAGAAAAACAUAUACAUACAUGCAUACAUACAUACAUAUAUAACUUUUUAAAUUAAUAAGC